RNAcentral lists this ribosomal RNA (254 nucleotides) under uncultured bacterium. RNAcentral describes it as "partial 16S ribosomal RNA". It matches the Rfam family "Bacterial small subunit ribosomal RNA", at positions 524 to 776 of the family's 1533-position model. The record is from RNAcentral.
UACGUAGGGGGCAAGCGUUGUCCGGAUUUACUGGGCGUAAAGGGCGCGUAGGCGGCCACCGCAAGUCGACUGUGAAAUCUCCGGGCUUAACCCGGAAAGGUCAGCCGAUACUGCGGGGCUAGAGUGCAGAAGGGGCAACUGGAAUUCUCGGUGUAGCGGUGAAAUGCGUAGAUAUCGAGAGGAACACCUGCGGCGAAGGCGGGUUGCUGGGCUGACACUGACGCUGAGGCGCGAAAGCGUGGGGAGCAAACGGG